GUAAUGGUUUCUUUAGAAACCACCUUCUAUCUUCAAAAAAUAUUUC
Non-coding RNA from Picea glauca (white spruce), 46 nucleotides. NCBI's taxonomy places the organism in Eukaryota, Viridiplantae, Streptophyta, Pinopsida, Pinales, Pinaceae. The record is from Rfam.